This 229-nucleotide ribosomal RNA is filed under the name uncultured bacterium. RNAcentral describes it as "partial 16S ribosomal RNA". It matches the Rfam family "Bacterial small subunit ribosomal RNA", at positions 568 to 796 of the family's 1533-position model. The record is from RNAcentral.
UGCGCAGGCGGACUAUUAAGUCAGAGGUGAAAUACUGCCGCUUAACGGUAGAAUUGCCUUUGAUACUGAUAGUCUUGAGUACAGUUGAGGUAGGCGGAAUGUGUUGUGUAGCGGUGAAAUGCUUAGAUAUAACACAGAACACCGAUUGCGAAGGCAGCUUACUAAACUGUUACUGACGCUGAGGCACGAAAGCGUGGGGAGCGAACAGGAUUAGAUACCCUGGUAGUCC